AAGUGAAGAGUUUGAUCCUGGCUCAGCGCGAACGCUGGCGGCAUGGCUAAAACAUGCAAGUCGAACGAGAACCCCGCAAGGGGGGACAGUGGCGAAAGGGUGAGUAAUGCGUUUCUAUGUACCCCGAGGUCGAGGAUAGCCAGGGGAAACUCUGAUUAAUACUCGAUGUGGUCCGCAAGGAUCAAAGGCUUGCUGCCUUGGGAGCAGGGAACGUCCUAUCAGGUUGUUGGUGAGGUAACGGCUCACCAAGCCGAAGACGGGUAGCGGGUGUGAGAGCACGACCCGCCACAUCGGGACUGAGACACUGCCCGGACUCCUACGGGAGGCUGCAGUAACGAAUCUUCCGCAAUGCGCGAAAGCGUGACGGAGCAAUGCCGCGUGCAGGAUGAAGCCCUUCGGGGUGUAAACUGCUGUCAGGGUUCAGCAACACAAUGAGCAGAUCCAAAGGAAGAGCCGACUAACUCUGUGCCAGCAGUCGCGGUAAUACAGAGGGCUCGAGCGUUGCGCGGAGUCACUGGGCUUAAAGCGUACGUAGGCGGGCGUGCAGGCAUCGUGUGAAAUCCCCCGACUCAACCGGGGAACUGCUCGGUGAACCGCACGUCUUGAGGUCAGUAGGGGCGGUCGGAACGAUAGGUGGAGCGGUGAAAUGCGUAGAUAUCUAUCGGAACGCCGAAGGUGAAGACAGGCCGCUGGGCUGAUUCUGACGCUGAGGUACGAAAGCGUGGGGAGCAAACGGGAUUAGAUACCCCGGUAGUCCACGCCCUAAACGAUGUGCAUUAGGUCGUGGGGGUUCUGACACCUCCUCGAUCGAAGCGAAAGUAAUUAAUGCACCGCCUGGGGAGUACGGUCGCAAGGCUAAAACUCAAAGGAAUUGACGGGGGCUCACACAAGCGGUGGAGCAUGUGGCUUAAUUCGAAGCAACGCGAAGAACCUUAUCCUGGGCUUGACAUGCACGGAUUAACCCGGUGAAAGCCGGGCCACGCCUUCGGGUGGAACGUGCACAGGUGCUGCAUGGCUGUCGUCAGCUCGUGCUGUGAAGUGUCGGGUUAAGUCCCUUAACGAGCGCAACCCCUGUCGUCAGUUGCUAACGGGUAAUGCCGAGGACUCUGGCGAGACUGCCGGUGUCAAACCGGAGGAAGGUGGGGAUGACGUCAAGUCCGCAUGGCCUUUAUGCCCAGGGCUGCACACGUGCUACAAUGGCGCGCACAGAACGACGCAAUACCGCAAGGUGGAGCAAAUCGCUCAAAUCGCGCCCCAGUUCGGAUUGUGGGCUGCAACCCGCCCACAUGAAGUUGGAAUCGCUAGUAAUCGCGGAUCAGCUACGCCGCGGUGAAUACGUUCCUGAGCCUUGUACACACCGCCCGUCAAGUCAUGGAAGCCGGUAGCGCCCGAAGUCGCCGAAAUUCAUCGGUGCCCACGGCGAGACUGGUGACUGGGACUAAGUCGUAACAAGGUAGCCGUAGGGGAACCUGCGGCUGGAUCACCUCCUUUCU
This 1493-nucleotide ribosomal RNA is filed under the name Phycisphaeraceae bacterium. RNAcentral's name for it is "bacterial SSU rRNA". It matches the Rfam family "Bacterial small subunit ribosomal RNA". The record is from RNAcentral. Lineage: Bacteria; Pseudomonadati; Planctomycetota; Phycisphaerae; Phycisphaerales; Phycisphaeraceae.